This 1069-nucleotide ribosomal RNA is filed under the name Paenibacillus sp. enrichment culture clone MRHull-S-10E. RNAcentral's name for it is "bacterial SSU rRNA". It matches the Rfam family "Bacterial small subunit ribosomal RNA", at positions 336 to 1397 of the family's 1533-position model. The record is from RNAcentral. Lineage: Bacteria; Bacillati; Bacillota; Bacilli; Caryophanales; Paenibacillaceae.
CUCCUACGGGAGGCAGCAGUAGGGAAUCUUCCGCAAUGGGCGAAAGCCUGACGGAGCAAUGCCGCGUGAGUGACGAAGGUUUUCGGAUCGUAAAGCUCUGUUGCCAGGGAAGAACGCUUGGGAGAGUAACUGCUCUCAAGGUGACGGUACCUGAGAAGAAAGCCCCGGCUAACUACGUGCCAGCAGCCGCGGUAAUACGUAGGGGGCAAGCGUUGUCCGGAAUUAUUGGGCGUAAAGCGCGCGCAGGCGGUCAUUUAAGUCUGGUGUUUAAUCCCGGGGCUCAACCCCGGAUCGCACUGGAAACUGGGUGACUUGAGUGCAGAAGAGGAGAGUGGAAUUCCACGUGUAGCGGUGAAAUGCGUAGAUAUGUGGAGGAACACCAGUGGCGAAGGCGACUCUCUGGGCUGUAACUGACGCUGAGGCGCGAAAGCGUGGGGAGCAAACAGGAUUAGAUACCCUGGUAGUCCACGCCGUAAACGAUGAGUGCUAGGUGUUAGGGGUUUCGAUACCCUUGGUGCCGAAGUUAACACAUUAAGCACUCCGCCUGGGGAGUACGGUCGCAAGACUGAAACUCAAAGGGAUCGACGGGGACCCGCACAAGCAGUGGAGUAUGUGGUUUAAUUCGAAGCAACGCGAAGAACCUUACCAGGUCUUGACAUCCCUCUGACCGGUACAGAGAUGUACCUUUCCUUCGGGACAGAGGAGACAGGUGGUGCAUGGUUGUCGUCAGCUCGUGUCGUGAGAUGUUGGGUUAAGUCCCGCAACGAGCGCAACCCUUAUAUUUAGUUGCCAGCACUUCGGGUGGGCACUCUAGAUAGACUGCCGGUGACAAACCGGAGGAAGGUGGGGAUGACGUCAAAUCAUCAUGCCCCUUAUGACCUGGGCUACACACGUACUACAAUGGCCGGUACAACGGGCUGCGAAAUCGCGAGAUGGAGCCAAUCCCAACAAAGCCGGUCUCAGUUCGGAUUGCAGGCUGCAACUCGCCUGCAUGAAGUCGGAAUUGCUAGUAAUCGCGGAUCAGCAUGCCGCGGUGAAUACGUUCCCGGGUCUUGCACACACCGCCCGU